AUUGAACGCUGGCGGCAGGCCUAACACAUGCAAGUCGAACGAGUGGCGGACGGGUGAGUAAUGUAUGGGAAACUGCAUGAUGGAGGGGGAUAACUACUGGAAACGGUAGCUAAUACCGCAUACCAUAGGAUGUGCCCAGAUGGGAUUAGCUAGUAGGUGGGGUAAAGGCUCACCUAGGCGACGAUCCCUAGCUGGUCUGAGAGGAAGACCAGACACACCGGAAAGGAGACACGGUCCACACUCUGACGGGCGGCAGCAGUGGGGAAUAUUGCACAAUUGGCGCAAGCCUUCUGCAGCCAUGCCGCGGGGAUGAAGGAGGACCUCGGGUUGGAAAGGACUUUCAACGGGGAGGCGUUACCCGCAGAAGAAGCACCGGCUAACUCCGUGCCAGCAGCCGCGGUAAUAC
This 406-nucleotide ribosomal RNA is filed under the name uncultured bacterium. RNAcentral describes it as "partial 16S ribosomal RNA". It matches the Rfam family "Bacterial small subunit ribosomal RNA", at positions 29 to 526 of the family's 1533-position model. The record is from RNAcentral.